This 253-nucleotide ribosomal RNA is filed under the name uncultured bacterium. RNAcentral describes it as "partial 16S ribosomal RNA". It matches the Rfam family "Bacterial small subunit ribosomal RNA", at positions 524 to 776 of the family's 1533-position model. The record is from RNAcentral.
UACAGAGGUCUCAAGCGUUGUUCGGAUUCAUUGGGCGUAAAGGGUGCGUAGGCGGCGCGGUAAGUCGGGUGUGAAAUCUCGGAGCUUAACUCCGAAACUGCAUUCGAUACUGCCGUGCUUGAGGACUGGAGAGGAGACUGGAAUUUACGGUGUAGCGGUGAAAUGCGUAGAUAUUAGGAAGAACACCGGUGGCGAAGGCGGCCCACUGGUCCGGUACUGACGCUGAGGUGCGAAAGCGUGGGGAGCAAACAGG